This 301-nucleotide ribosomal RNA is filed under the name uncultured bacterium. RNAcentral's name for it is "partial 16S ribosomal RNA". It matches the Rfam family "Bacterial small subunit ribosomal RNA", at positions 509 to 807 of the family's 1533-position model. The record is from RNAcentral.
CAGUAGCCGCGGGAAUACAGAGGUCUCAAGCGUUGUUCGGAAUCACUGGGCGUAAAGGGUGCGUAGGUGGCGUGGUAAGUCAGAUGUGAAAGCCCGGGGCUCAACCUCGGAAUAGCAUCCGAUACUACCAUGCUAGAGUACUGAAGAGGUGACUAGAAUUCUCGGUGUAGCAGUGAAAUGCGUAGAUAUCGAGAGGAAUACCAACGGCGAAGGCAGGUCACUGGGCAGUUACUGACACUGAGGCACGAAGGCCAGGGGAGCAAACGGGAUUAGAUACCCCCGUAGUCCCUGUCUCUUAUAC